AUGUUUCAGCCAACACAGCAGCAGACACGUUACCGGAAAUCUCCUCAUGCUCCUUCCGAUGAAGAAGGUGGAAGUGUUCAAUCCGAGGAUGUAGCUUCCAAGGAGUAAGCAACACUCAAUCUUUUCAUGAUGUGCUGGUUAAUAUUCUGCUACCUCAAUAGCUCAGUAGGCAUCACAUUUCAUAUUGUUCAACAAAAAAUGCUGAUUAUGUAUUCAUAUUAGCAGAAGAAUGUUGUGUUUGACCUGCAAUUAUUAUGUGGACUUGGUACUAUGAUUUAUAUGUAUUUUUUUUCUUGAUUCCAGAAAAUAACGCAAUAAGAAUGAAAAAAUAGACAUUAAAAUUAGUAAGCUUUGGGUUUUGAACUCAGAUGUUUGAUUAUGAGAGUAUUACAAGUGCUUUCAUUUUUAUUUUUUAUAUACCUUAACUAGUAUCCUUU
This is a non-coding RNA of Lupinus albus (white lupine), 437 nucleotides long. Lineage: Eukaryota; Viridiplantae; Streptophyta; Magnoliopsida; Fabales; Fabaceae. The record is from the annotation of a GenBank genome assembly.